GACGAACGCUGGCGGCGUGCUUAACACAUGCAAGUCGAACGGUGAAGGGACUGGUUUUGCUGGUCCUGGAUGAGUGGCGAACGGGUGAGUAACACGUGAGUAACCUGCCCCCUUCUUCUGGAUAACCGCAUGAAAGUGUGGCUAAUACGGGAUAUUCUGGGUCUGUCGCAUGGUGGGCCUGGGAAAGAUUGCGCCUUUUUUGGUGUUUUUGGUGGGGGAUGGGCUCGCGGCCUAUCAGCUUGUUGGUGGGGUGAUGGCCUACCAAGGCGGUGACGGGUAGCCGGCCUGAGAGGGUGGACGGUCACACUGGGACUGAGACACGGCCCAGACUCCGACGGGAGGCAGCAGUGGGGAAUAUUGCACAAUGGGCGCAAGCCGGAUGCAGCGACGCCGCGUGAGGGAUGGAGGCCUUCGGGUUGUGAACCUCUUUCGCCAGUGAAGCAGGCCUGCCUCUUUGUGUGGGUGGGUUGACGGUAGCUGGAUAAGAAGCGCCGGCUAACUACGUG
RNAcentral lists this ribosomal RNA (506 nucleotides) under uncultured bacterium. RNAcentral describes it as "partial 16S ribosomal RNA". It matches the Rfam family "Bacterial small subunit ribosomal RNA", at positions 28 to 507 of the family's 1533-position model. The record is from RNAcentral.